GCGUGUCCGCGCUGCGUGUCCGCGCUGCGUGUCCGCGCUGCGUGUCCGCGCUGCGUGCCCGGUGGGCGCGGGGCUUCGUGCUUCUCUGCUCUCUCAGAGACUUGGUUUUCCCCCGCGUAGCGAGCAGAUGCUGUUUGUACGUGGUGCUUCACGCCUCCUGGCGUUGUGCUUGGGAGGGAGGCCUGGCCGCAGGUUGACAAUUGCCACACGUUUUUUUGUGGCUUGCCACGCAUAUGUUUGUGUUCUUUGUGACUUGCUUUCCCAACCUGUCCUUAGGUUUUCACCUUCACUUCUCCUGUGCUUUAAAGGAAACAUGUUUGUCCUUAAACUGGUCUGUGAUGUCUGCAGCCUGCCCGAUGGCCAUUCCAGUUGGUAUGUGGUGCUAUAAGAUUUGCAAAUUAUUCCCAAUGCAGGUGAAGACCUCUGAAUGGUAGCAAAGAACAACUGAGCAGAAACUGGAAUUACUGAAAAGUGUGCAGACAUCAGUGGUCCAUAGAUUUCAGUUCCAUCAUGAUACUAAACUGACCCACAGCAGUUUGCAGAAAAUGUCAGGACUGGUGUCUGAGGAAGUGAGGAAAGGAGGGCACCUGUCUCUGAAACAACGCUGUGACUUGGAUUGCUGUGAAUCUCCGUCUCUUCUUGUGCUGCUGUGGUAUAUCUGUGUAUAUCACUAUGUAAACUACUGAAAUUACAGUGAUAAAAGAGAAAGGGAAAAAAAGCUUCUGUUGUAGAAAUGCAGAGAAAAUAAAUGGCAUAGCAAGAAAGCCUUACUGUGACUGAAAAAUUACAUUUGCCUGUUAUAAAGCUCUAAUAUUAACUAUUUAACAGGCAUGAGAAGGGAAAAAAGGGCUUAGAGAAAAUCAGGAAAGCAUCUGAAAAUCAGGGUCACUUUAGAGGCUUUUGUGAUUUCCUGUAAUGUGACAUAAAACAUCUGUUGUAUUUUUGCUGGGAAAUUUGUAGCUGAGGUGAAUGUAGCAGAAAAUAAAAGUUGAGAAAACAUA
Long non-coding RNA from Falco peregrinus (peregrine falcon), 1001 nucleotides. RefSeq lists it as uncharacterized. Lineage: Eukaryota; Metazoa; Chordata; Aves; Falconiformes; Falconidae. The transcript has 3 exons. The record is from RefSeq and is a predicted model, not a curated record.